GAUGAACGCUAGCGGGAGGCCUAACACAUGCAAGCCGAGCGGUAGAGUUUCUUCGGAAACUUGAGAGCGGCGCACGGGUGCGUAACACGUGUGCAACCUACCUUUAUCUGGGGGAUAGCCUUUCGAAAGGAAGAUUAAUACCCCAUAAUAUAAUGAUUGGCAUCAAUUAUUAUUGAAAACUCCGGUGGAUAGAGAUGGGCACGCACAAGAUUAGAUAGUUGGUUAGGUAACGGCUCACCAAGUCAAUGAUCUUUAGGGGUCCUGAGAGGGAGAUCCCCCACAAUGGUAAUGCGACCCGGACCAGAACGCUACGGGAGGGAGCAGUGAGGAAUAUUGGACAAUGGGUGAGAGCCUGAUACAGCCAUCCCGCGUGAAGGAUGACGGUCCUAUGGAUUGUAAACUUCUUUUGUACAGGGAUAAACCUACCCUCGUGAGGGUAGCUGAAGGUACUGUACGAAUAAGCACCGGCUAACUCCGUG
Molecule: ribosomal RNA, 479 nt
Filed under: uncultured bacterium
Lineage: Bacteria
Description: partial 16S ribosomal RNA
Rfam family: Bacterial small subunit ribosomal RNA
Source: RNAcentral